This 578-nucleotide small RNA is filed under the name Arabidopsis thaliana (thale cress). RNAcentral describes it as "ATSL011400". Lineage: Eukaryota; Viridiplantae; Streptophyta; Magnoliopsida; Brassicales; Brassicaceae. The record is from RNAcentral.
UGAAAACAUUUAAAUAUUUACAUGUCUAGUACGUAAUUCAAGUUUUUCUUAUAUCAAACAUGUUCUUUGUAUUUGCAGAAGUGUAUCCCUGUGUUCCUUAAUGGGGUUUUUGAUCAGUACUACAAUGGUUAUUGCAAUGGUAUCUUGUGGCCAAUUCUUCAUCACAUGGGACUUCCACAAGAAGAUCAGCAUGACACAAACCAAACUUUCGAAACACAAUAUGAUGCAUACAAGAAAGCAAAUCGAAUGUUUCUUGAUGUCAUAAUAGACAACUAUGAAGAAGGAGAUAUUGUUUGGUGUCAUGACUAUCAUCUCAUGUUUCUUCCUCAAUACCUUAAAGAGUACAACAACAAAAUCAAAGUUGGAUGGUUUCUCCAUUCACCAUUUCCUUCUUCUGAGGUCUACAAAACAUUGCCCUCGCGGUCAGAGCUUCUUCGUGCGAUUCUUGCAGCUGAUUUACUUGGGUAAAACUCAAACUCUUAACAGUUUCAUAUAUGGUUAGGAAUCAUCUGAUUUGGAUAUCAAAAAAGGUUUAAAUUUAUGUAUUGUUUUUUUCCAGCUUCCAUACAUAUGAUUUU